GAUGAACGCUGGCGGCGUGCCUAAUACAUGCAAGUCGAGCGAACGGACGAGAAUCUUGCUUCUCUGAUGUUAGCGGCGGACGGGUGAGUAACACGUGGCUAACCUACCUAUAAGACUGGGAUAACUUCGGGAAACCGGAGCUAAUACCGGAUGAUAUUUUGAACCGCAUGGUUCAACAGUGAAUGACGGUCUUGCUGUCACUUAUAGAUGGAUCCGCGCUGCAUUAGCUAGUUGGUAAGGUAACGGCUUACCAAGGCAACGAUGCAUAGCCGACCUGAGAGGGUGAUCGGCCACACUGGAAAUGAGACACGGUCCAGAAUCCUAAGGGAGGCAGCAGUAGGGAAUAUUCCGCAAUGGGCGAAAGCCUGACGGAGCAAAGCCGCGUGAGUGAUGAAGGUCUUCGGAUCGUAAAACUCUGUUAUUAGGGAAGAACAUAUGUGUAAGUAACUGUGCACAUCUUGACGGUACCUAAUCAGAAAGCCACGGCUAACUACGUG
RNAcentral lists this ribosomal RNA (497 nucleotides) under uncultured bacterium. RNAcentral describes it as "partial 16S ribosomal RNA". It matches the Rfam family "Bacterial small subunit ribosomal RNA", at positions 28 to 507 of the family's 1533-position model. The record is from RNAcentral.